RNAcentral lists this ribosomal RNA (261 nucleotides) under uncultured bacterium. Its description in RNAcentral is "partial 16S ribosomal RNA". It matches the Rfam family "Bacterial small subunit ribosomal RNA", at positions 15 to 283 of the family's 1533-position model. The record is from RNAcentral.
GAUCAUGGCUCAGGACGAACGCUGGCGGCGUGCCUAACACAUGCAAGUCGAACGAAAUUACGAAGAAAGCUUGCUUUAAUCGUAAUUUAGUGGCGGACGGGUGAGUAACGCGUGAGGACUUGUCGGAUACAGGGGGACAACAGAUGGAAACGUCUGCUAAUACCCCAUAAGCCUUCGGGUAAAAGGAGCAAUCCGGUAUUUGAGAGACUCGCGUUCUAUCAGCUAGUAGGUGGGGUAACGGCCCACCUAGGCCAAGACGGA